UGGGAAUCUACCGAGCCCUGCGGAAUAGCUCCGGGAAACUGGAAUUAAUACCGCAUACGCCCUACGGGGGAAAGAUUUAUCGGGGUUUGAUGAGCCCGCGUUGGAUUAGCUAGUUGGUGGGGUAAAGGCCUACCAAGGCGACGAUCCAUAGCUGGUCUGAGAGGAUGAUCAGCCACAUUGGGACUGAGACACGGCCCAAACUCCUACGGGAGGCAGCAGUGGGGAAUAUUGGACAAUGGGCGCAAGCCUGAUCCAGCCAUGCCGCGUGAGUGAUGAAGGCCCUAGGGUUGUAAAGCUCUUUCAACGGUGAAGAUAAUGACGGUAACCGUAGAAGAAGCCCCGGCUAACUUCGUGCCAGCAGCCGCGGUAAUACGAAGGGGGCUAGCGUUGUUCGGAAUUACUGGGCGUAAAGCGCACGUAGGCGGAUAUUUAAGUCAGGGGUGAAAUCCCGGGGCUCAACCUCGGAACUGCCUUUGAUACUGGGUAUCUUGAGUAUGGAAGAGGUAAGUGGAAUUGCGAGUGUAGAGGUGAAAUUCGUAGAUAUUCGCAGGAACACCAGUGGCGAAGGCGGCUUACUGGUCCAUUACUGACGCUGAGGUGCGAAAGCGUGGGGAGCAAACAGGAUUAGAUAC
This 632-nucleotide ribosomal RNA is filed under the name Rhizobium sp. Its description in RNAcentral is "bacterial SSU rRNA". It matches the Rfam family "Bacterial small subunit ribosomal RNA", at positions 118 to 785 of the family's 1533-position model. Lineage: Bacteria; Pseudomonadati; Pseudomonadota; Alphaproteobacteria; Hyphomicrobiales; Rhizobiaceae. The record is from RNAcentral.